UCAAGAAACUUCCACAAUGGGCGAAAGCCUGAUGGAGCGACGUCGCGUGAUGGACGAAGUGCUCGGCACGUAAACAUCUUUUAUGUGGGAUGAAAUUAUUGACAGUACCACAUGAAUAAGGGGCUCCUAACUCUGUGCCAGCAGGAGCGGUAAUACAGAGGCCCCAAGCGUUAUCCGGAAUCACUGGGCGUAAAGGGUGUCGAGGCGGUUGUAUUAGUCGUUCGUAAAAUCUACGAGCUUAACUUGUAGGCGGCGAACGAAACGGUACGACUUGAGGUUUGGAGAGGUGCGUGGAACUCACGGUGUAGGGGUGAAAUCCGUUGAUAUCGUGGGGAACACCAAAGGCGAAGGCAGUGCACUGGUACAUUCCUGACUCUGAGAUGCGAAAGCGUGGGGAGCAAAAAGGAUUAGAUACCCGGGUAGUCCCUGAGCGGGCUGGCAAGGCGCAU
Molecule: ribosomal RNA, 449 nt
Filed under: uncultured bacterium
Lineage: Bacteria
Description: bacterial SSU rRNA
Rfam family: Bacterial small subunit ribosomal RNA
Source: RNAcentral